This 301-nucleotide ribosomal RNA is filed under the name uncultured bacterium. Its description in RNAcentral is "partial 16S ribosomal RNA". It matches the Rfam family "Bacterial small subunit ribosomal RNA", at positions 510 to 808 of the family's 1533-position model. The record is from RNAcentral.
CGUAGCCGCGGUAAUACAGAGGAUGCAAGCGUUAUCCGGAAUGAUUGGGCGUAAAGCGUCUGUAGGUGGCUUUUCAAGUCCGCCGUCAAAUCCCAGGGCUCAACCCUGGACAGACGGUGGAAACUACCAAGCUGGAGUGCGGUAGGGGCAGAGGGAAUUUCCGGUGGAGCGGUGAAAUGCGUUGGGAUCGGAAAGAACACCAACGGCGAAGGCACUCUGCUGGGCCGACACUGACACUGAGAGACGAAAGCUAGGGGAGCAAACGGGAUUAGAGACCCCUGUAGUCCCUGUCUCUUAUACA